CUGCUCAAUGAAUUAAUUUUAAAUAGCUGCAGUAUAAAUAACUGUACAAAGGUAGCAUAAUAAUUUGUUUUUUAAUUAAAAACUAGAAUGAAUGAUUUUAUGAAAUAUAAACUGUAUCAAAUUUAAUUAAUAAAUUUAUUAUUUAAAUAAAAAAAUUUAAAUAAAUUUUAAAGACGAGAAGACCCUAUAGAAUUUUAAUAAUAAAUUAUAAAAUUUAUAAUUUUAUUAUUUUAAUUGGGGAAAUUUUAAAAUUUUAAAAAUUUUUAAUUUAAAAAACAUUAAUUUUUGAAUAUUUAAUAUUUUUUAAAAAAAUAAAAUAAAUUACCUUAGGGAUAACAGCAUAAUUUUUUUAAAAAG
This 357-nucleotide ribosomal RNA is filed under the name Cotesia flaviconchae. RNAcentral describes it as "partial 16S ribosomal RNA". The record is from RNAcentral. Lineage: Eukaryota; Metazoa; Arthropoda; Insecta; Hymenoptera; Braconidae.